This 260-nucleotide RNase P RNA is filed under the name Lachnospiraceae bacterium. RNAcentral's name for it is "partial RNase P RNA component class A". It matches the Rfam family "Bacterial RNase P class A", at positions 1 to 211 of the family's 367-position model. Rfam says of the family: Ribonuclease P (RNase P) is a ubiquitous endoribonuclease, found in archaea, bacteria and eukarya as well as chloroplasts and mitochondria. Its best characterised activity is the generation of mature 5'-ends of tRNAs by cleaving the 5'-leader elements of precursor-tRNAs. The record is from RNAcentral. Lineage: Bacteria; Bacillati; Bacillota; Clostridia; Lachnospirales; Lachnospiraceae.
UAAGUAGAACAGGCGAUCGCAGCCACGAAAUGUGGGUGAGGAAAGUCCGGGCUUCACAGGGCAGGAUGCCGGAUAACGUCCGGUGGAGGCGACUCCAAGGCCAGUGCAACAGAAAUAUACCGCCUCUUUCAGGAAUGAAAGACAGAAAAUUGCGAAGCAAUUUUCGUGCCGUUCGCUGUUCUUCAGCGAACUGCAGGUAAGGGUGGAAAGGCAGCUUAAGAGACUACCGUCCGUCUGGUAACAGGCGGAGCCAUGUAAAC